This 495-nucleotide ribosomal RNA is filed under the name uncultured bacterium. RNAcentral's name for it is "partial 16S ribosomal RNA". It matches the Rfam family "Bacterial small subunit ribosomal RNA", at positions 28 to 507 of the family's 1533-position model. The record is from RNAcentral.
GACGAACGCUGGCGGCGUGCCUAAUACAUGCAAGUAGAACGCUGAAGGAGGAGCUUGCUUCUCUGGAUGAGUUGCGAACGGGUGAGUAACGCGUAGGUAACCUGCCUGGUAGCGGGGGAUAACUAUUGGAAACGAUAGCUAAUACCGCAUAAUAGUAGAUGUUGCAUGACAUUUGCUUAAAAGGUGCAAUUGCAUCACUACCAGAUGGACCUGCGUUGUAUUAGCUAGUUGGUGAGGUAACGGCUCACCAAGGCGACGAUACAUAGCCGACCUGAGAGGGUGAUCGGCCACACUGGGACUGAGACACGGCCCAGACUCCUACGGGAGGCCGCAGUAGGGAAUCUUCGGCAAUGGACGGAAGUCUGACCGAGCAACGCCGCGUGAGUGAAGAAGGUUUUCGGAUCGUAAAGCUCUGUUGUAAGAGAAGAACGAGUGUGAGAGUGGAAAGUUCACACUGUGACGGUAGCUUACCAGAAAGGGACGGCUAACUACGUG